Molecule: small nucleolar RNA, 126 nt
Organism: Suncus etruscus (white-toothed pygmy shrew)
Lineage: Eukaryota; Metazoa; Chordata; Mammalia; Eulipotyphla; Soricidae
Source: RefSeq, a predicted model, not a curated record
UGGUACUAUCGAAAAGUGUUUUCAUUUAAUAAGUCAUUCUUGUUAUUUCUCAUGUGCUAUAUAAUAGUUGAAGGCUAAUUAGCAGUAUGACUCCAUAGUGAUUCUGCCAGUCUCCUUCAGACAGUU